GGCUCAGGACGAACGCUGGCGGCGUGCCUAACACAUGCAAGUCAAGGGGUAGCAAUACCACUGGCGCACGGGUGAGUAACGCGUAGGUAAUCUGCCCUUUCCCAAGACAUAACAUCGAGAAAUCGGUGCUAAUAUCUUAUACGGCCUCCGGGUCAAAGUUUCGACGGGUAAGGAUGAGCCUGCGUCUGAUUAGCUUGUUGGUAAGGUAAUGGCUUACCAAGGCGACGAUCAGUAACUGGUCUGAGAGGAUGAUCAGUCACACUGGAACUGAGACACGGUCCAGACUCCUACGGGAGGCAGCAGUGAGGAAUAUUGGUCAAUGGGGGAAACCCUGAACCAGCGACGCCGCGUGUAGGAUGAAGGAGCUUUGCUCUGUAAACUACUGUCGGAUGGGAAAAAAAGAAUCCUUUGGGUUCUGGGAUUGUACCAUCAAAGGAAGGAUCGGCUAACUACGUGCCAGCAGCCGCGGUAAUACGUAGGAUCCAAGCGUUGUCCGGAUUUACUGGGUGUAAAGGGUGCGCAGGCGGACUUGUGCGUCAGAGGUUAAAGACCACGGCUUAACUGUGGAGGUGCCUUUGAUACGGCAAGUCUUGAGUGUGAGAGAGGAUAGUAGAAUUCCUGGUGUAGCGGUGAAAUGCGUAGAUAUCAGGAGGAAUACCCGUGGCGAAGGCGGCUAUCUGGCUCAUUACUGACGCUCAGGCACGAAAGCGUGGGGAUCAAACAGGAUUAGAUACCCUGGUAGUCCACGCCCUAAACGAUGUAUGCUUGGUGUUGGGAACCUAGUUCUCAGUGCCGAAGGUAACCCGUUAAGCAUACCACCUGGGGAGUACGGUCGUCAAGGCUGAAACUUAAA
RNAcentral lists this ribosomal RNA (853 nucleotides) under uncultured bacterium. RNAcentral's name for it is "bacterial SSU rRNA". It matches the Rfam family "Bacterial small subunit ribosomal RNA", at positions 21 to 905 of the family's 1533-position model. The record is from RNAcentral.